This 393-nucleotide ribosomal RNA is filed under the name uncultured bacterium. RNAcentral describes it as "partial 16S ribosomal RNA". It matches the Rfam family "Bacterial small subunit ribosomal RNA", at positions 523 to 918 of the family's 1533-position model. The record is from RNAcentral.
AUACGGAAGGUCCGGGCGUUAUCCGGAUUUAUUGGGUUUAAAGGGAGCGCAGGCGGAGAUGCAAGCGUGACGUCAAAUUUCGGGGCUCAACCCCGUCUCGUGUCGCGAACUGCGUCCCUUGGUUGCGGGAAGGGGAGGCGGAACUCGUGGUGUAGCGGGGAAAUGCAUAGAUAUCACGAAGAACUCCGAUCGCGAAGGCAGCCUUCCGGCCCGUCAACGACGCUCAUGCUCGAAGGUGCGGGUAUCAAACAGGAUUAGAUACCCUGGUAGUCCACGCAGUAAACGAUGAUAACUAACCGCUGGGUCGUAGUGAUUCAGUGGCCAAGCGAAAGCGAUAAGUUAUCCACCUGGGGAGUACGACCGCAAGGUUGAAACUCAAAUGAAUUGACGGGG